This 418-nucleotide long non-coding RNA is filed under the name Elaeis guineensis (African oil palm). RNAcentral's name for it is "long non-coding RNA (EGUI_LNC028070)". Lineage: Eukaryota; Viridiplantae; Streptophyta; Magnoliopsida; Arecales; Arecaceae. The record is from RNAcentral.
UGGAGAUCAUGGUGAAUUAGAAAGAACAAAAUAACUUUGGCUGCAUCUUGCUACUAUGAAAAUGAUGGUGGCUGGAGAUCAUGGUGAAUUAGGAAGAACAAAACAACCUUGAUUGCGUCUUGCUACUAUGAAAAUGAUGGUGGCUGGAGAUCAUGGUGAAUUAGGAAGAACAAAACAAGCUUCUAAACUCGGCCCUUUUUUCAAGCAAUAAUUUCUUUCAAAUUCCUGCCAAAUUUGAUUCACACCACAUCAUGCUUCUACGCACGUGAGCAAAAUCAUCAAUUUGGCUCUUGGAUCCAUAUAUGGCAUGUGAUCAUCUAUUUCUUCAUGAUGGUGCACAUCAGCUUGGCUAGAAAAAAAUGGGAGGAGGGGUAGAGUAGGAAAGGAGAGGAUAGAGACAAAGAAACAAAAAAGAGAG